This 504-nucleotide ribosomal RNA is filed under the name uncultured bacterium. RNAcentral describes it as "bacterial SSU rRNA". It matches the Rfam family "Bacterial small subunit ribosomal RNA", at positions 8 to 518 of the family's 1533-position model. The record is from RNAcentral.
AGAGUUUGAUCCUGGCUCAGGAUGAACGCUGGCGGCGUGCUUAACACAUGCAAGUCGAACGGAGCUAGAAGGAAGCUGCUUCAUUAAGCUUAGUGGCGGACGGGUGAGUAACGCGUGAGCAACCUGCCCUCGAGUGGGGAAUAACAUCGAGAAAUCGGUGCUAAUACCGCAUAAAGUCGAGAGACCGCAUGAUCUUUCGACCAAAGGAUUUAUUCGCUUGAGGAUGGGCUCGCGUCCGAUUAGCUAGUUGGUGAGGUAACGGCCCACCAAGGCAUCGAUCGGUAGCCGAACUGAGAGGUUGAUCGGCCACAUUGGGACUGAGACACGGCCCAGACUCCUACGGGAGGCAGCAGGUGGGGAAUAUUGGGCAAUGGGCGAAAAACGCCUGACCCAGCAACGCCGCGUGAAGGAUGAAGGUCUUCGGAUUGUAAACUUCUUUGAUUGGGGAAGAAUAAAUGACCUACCCAAAGAACAAGCCACGGCUAACUACGUGCCAGCCGCCGC